Molecule: ribosomal RNA, 813 nt
Filed under: uncultured bacterium
Lineage: Bacteria
Description: bacterial SSU rRNA
Rfam family: Bacterial small subunit ribosomal RNA
Source: RNAcentral
AGAGUUUGAUCCUGGCUCAGAAUCAACGCUGGCGGCGCGCUUAACACAUGCAAGUCGCACGAGAAAGUGGGCAACCAUGAGUACAGUGGCGAACGGGUGAGUAACACGUGGGUAAUCUACCUCUGAGUGAGGAAUAACCCUGGGAAACCGGGGCUAAUACCGCAUAAGCUCGAGAGAGGAAAGCAGCAAUGCGCUGAGAGAGGAGCCCGCGGCCGAUUAGCUAGUUGGUAGGGUAAAAGCCUACCAAGGCAGAGAUCGGUAGCCGGCCUGAGAGGGCACACGGCCACACUGGCACUGAAACACGGGCCAGACUCCUACGGGAGGCAGCAGUGGGGAAUCUUGCACAAUGGGGGAAACCCUGAUGCAGCGACGCCGCGUGAGCGAUGAAGCCCUUCGGGGUGUAAAGCUCUUUCGUCAGGGAAGAUAAUGACGGUACCUGGAGAAGCAGCUGCGGCUAACUACGUGCCAGCAGCCGCGGUAAUACGUAGGCAGCGAGCGUUGUUCGGAGUUACUGGGCGUAAAGGGUGUGUAGGCGGUUCUUUAAGUUUGGUGUGAAAUCUCCCGGCUCAACCGGGAGGGUGCGCCGAAUACUGAGGGACUCGAGUGCGGGAGAGGAAAGUGGAAUUCCUGGUGUAGCGGUGAAAUGCGUAGAUAUCAGGAGGAACACCGGUGGUGUAGACGGCUUUCUGGACCGUAACUGACGCUGAAACACGAAAGCGUGGGUAGCAAACAGGAUUAGAUACCCUGGUAGUCCACGCCCUAAACGAUGCAUAUUUGGUGUGGGUCAUUCAGUUGAUCCGUGCCGGAGCUAAC